Capsicum annuum is the source of this 1978-nucleotide RNA transcript. It is a transcript of the gene named receptor-like protein EIX1, with no coding region annotated. The record is from RefSeq and is a predicted model, not a curated record. Lineage: Eukaryota; Viridiplantae; Streptophyta; Magnoliopsida; Solanales; Solanaceae. The transcript is spliced from 5 exons.
GCCUAGUAGACUUAUGGUCUAGCAGAGAAGUCUUCUCAUCAUUGCAAAAAAGAAAAAAAUAUUACUUUAGUCUGCUCUAUUGACUAAGUUAGCUAUAAUUCCCAGAUUAGAAAAUACAAGUGAGUUGUAAAUUUAUAUUUUCAUGUUACGUUUUUAGCCUUAGUAGUAUUUUGCUCAAUCUUAUGAAGAUGGUUGUAGCAGAAAAGUUCAUUCAACGCCUCGUUGUGUUUGAUAUUUGUGUGACACUAAUACUCAUUUGUGGGGUUGUGUUCAGUUCAAGAAUUGGUGAUGGAAGAACCAAGUGCCUUGAGAGUGAGAAAGAAGCUCUUCUUAGUAUCAAACGUGAGUUGUUGGACAUCCAUGGACGUAUUUCUUCGUGGGGAAAUGAAGGAUUUGAUCAAGAUUGUUGCACAUGGAGAGGUGUCAGUUGUGACAAUCAAACGGGUCAUGUCAUCGGACUUGAUCUCCGUGGCCCCUAUGGGGCCUUUCCGAAUUCUGCUCUUGAACCAUUAGUUGGUAAAAUAAGCUCUGCAAUUCAAGAAUUGAAGAAUUUGAAGUAUCUUGAUCUUAGUCACAAUCAAUUUUCAGGAGGCAUACCGGACUUUAUCGGUUCUCUGAGUAGUUCAGAAGUUGGAGAUGGGAAAAUCAAGUGUGUUGCGAUAGAGAAAGAAGCUCUUCUCAGGUUGAAAGAGGAGUUUCUGGACAUUCAUGGUCGACUUUCUUCUUGCGGAAAUGAAGCAUAUAACGAAGAUUGUUGCGGAUGGAGAGGCGUCCAGUGUGAUAAUCAAACGGGUAAUGUCAUCAGACUUGGCCCUCAUCCAGUUACAGUUCAUAUAUUUCUCCUGAGCCAUUGCAAGGUAUAAAUACUUCAGUUCCGUACACCAACAAGUAAGGAGUUGCACCAAUUGAAGUUCGAACUGUAGUACGAUAACCCAACAAAGGAAAAGCUAGAUGGGUGAAGAUCCCACUCAAUUCUGAAAUAGUGGAUUCAACAUUUUGAAGAGCAGUUGCCCUAUUUUGCGUGAAACUUUCUUGUCUUGGAACCACUUCUUGCAACAUGGACGACGUUUCCAUUUGAUGAGAUGGAGGAUUGUCCGAAGCCAAUCUCCGCCUUAAUUGGCUGCUGCCUUGAACAUCAUUUGCCGGUGAAACUGAUGAAGGAGUUGACCAAGGUGGUGGUUCUGCUGUAGUCUUUGGAGGCUGCUUCAAAGGAUUUUCUCUUGCAAGAUUCGUAGAAAAUAUUUGUCUCCGGUCCUCAUGAGCUUUCAUAUUCUUUGUCCUUAUAGUUAGCGCAUCCUGGAAAGAUUUUGUAGCUGUCAUAAGCCUCGUCUUCAGAUCAUCACAAAUAGCGGUACAAUGCACAACUGUAUCUUUUGAAUGAGAUCCAUCAGCCACUGCCGUGUCUUGCAAGGCUUGAUCGUCAAAAAUGGAUGAUCGUUUUGCCAAUUUAGCGAGUCUAUCAAUUUUCUGGAAGAUUUGGUGGAUAUUUAACCCAAUUUUCGAUGCCUUCUUGUUAAAUUCAGAUCGGUCAGGAGUAGACAGGGCAAAAUUCAGUUGUGAUUGAUCAUGUACAGGGCUUCCUGUUAUCUUCUUCAAUGUCUUGGACAAAGAUGUGAAUUCAGAAGUUCGAUCUCGAUAUGUCCAAGCUCCAGAAGAGGCCAUUGACAUUUGAUGCUAUCUAAUUGCAAAUAUUGGUCAUGUGUCUACAAAUCGCAGGGAUAUGGCGGGGACGUACGGGGAGCCUUGCUGGUCAGAUGCCAAUGUUUUGGGGUCCAAAGAUGUUUCCUAAUUUUUUGGCUAGAAACAAGGAUGACUUAUUAAAAUUAGAGGCUUAAAAUCAAAUCUUAGUUAUCAUUUUUUUAAGCUAAAUUAUAGUAAGCCAAAUUUUUUUUAGCCAAAUUCUUUACAUCGUACUACUAUUCUUUGUAUUAUGAGAAUGAAUUUAAGUUAAUAGAAUGUUAGUCGUGCUUGCAAUUCA